UACGUAGGCAGCAAGCGUUGUUCGGAAUUACUGGGCGUAAAGAGUGUGUAGGCGGUGCUCUAAGUCUGGUGUGAAAUCUCCCGGCUCAACUGGGAGGGUGCGCCGGAAACUGGAGUGCUUGAGGGUGGGAGAGGUAAGCGGAAUUCCUGGUGUAGCGGUGAAAUGCGUAGAUAUCAGGAGGAACACCUGUGGUGUAGACAGCUUACUGGACCACUUCUGACGCUGAGACACGAAAGCGUGGGUAGCAAACAGG
RNAcentral lists this ribosomal RNA (253 nucleotides) under uncultured bacterium. Its description in RNAcentral is "partial 16S ribosomal RNA". It matches the Rfam family "Bacterial small subunit ribosomal RNA", at positions 524 to 776 of the family's 1533-position model. The record is from RNAcentral.